UCCAGUCAGCAAUAACAAAAUAAGAAAACUUUUGUAUUAAUUCAAGGUUCUGUAUUUUAUUAAAUCAUCUUUAAUAUUAACAAAAUAAAAAGUUUCAAAAUAUAACAACCCUCAAAAGUGUUUCAUUUCUUACAUACAGUAGAUCUAUAGUGUGUGUCGUCUGCUCUGCUCCUACAAGUGACACCUUUUAGAAAUUGCACAUUAAACCCACAUACAAUAAAAGAGACAUUCAAGUCCUCACAAAUAAUUCAAACUGUAAUCCUAUUUUCAUAUUCUUAUCCAAAAAUCAUCUAUUGUACAGGCAACAGUGUGUACAUUUGUAUAUAUCUCUUUUCUAUCCAUGUAAUAGUGUGUUACGAUUUUACCGAUUAAGACAAAAUGGUUUAUCCAUAAUAUUCGUGGCAGAAUCUUAAAUUAUUAUAAAUUAUAAAUUACUUGUCAGCUGGGUUUUUUCUCCGGGCUUUGCCUAAAUGGGUUCAAUUAAAUGUUGAAAAAAAAAAUCUACUCAACUGUCUAGACAGAUACAAAUCAACACUGUCAAUCAAGUCCCUGGUGCAUAAUACAUAUAAUGCACCUUGCCACUUGUAGGGAAUAGGAAAUUGAGUAAGGAGUAGUGUGUAGGGAAGAGUAUGUAAAGAAUAGUAGUAGGGAAUGGAGUAACGAGUAGGGAAGAGUAAAUAAGGAAUAUUAAGUUAGGUAUAGUAGUAAGGAAUGGUGAGUAGGGAUUAGUGAGUAAGGAAUAGGGAGUAGGGCAGAGUAAGUAAGGAACAGUAGUAGGGAUAGUGAGUAAGGAAUAGUGAGCAGGGAAGAGUGAGUAAGUAAGGAACAGUGAGUAGGGAAGAGUAAAUAAGGAAUAGCGAUUAGGAAAUAGUGAGCUGGGAAUACUGUAGAGUAAGGAAUAGUGAGUAGAAAAC
Molecule: long non-coding RNA, 914 nt
Organism: Ictalurus punctatus (channel catfish)
Lineage: Eukaryota; Metazoa; Chordata; Actinopteri; Siluriformes; Ictaluridae
Source: Ensembl